GGUUUGAUUAUGGCUCAGAUUGAACGCUGGCGGGAUGCUUUACAUGCAAGUCGAACGGCAGCACGGACUUCGGUCUGGUGGCGAGUGGCGAACAGGUGAGUAAUGUCGGAACGUGCUAGUAGCGGGGGAUAACUGGCGCUAAUACGCGCCACGCCCUUCGGGGAAAGCGGGGACCCGGGCCUCGCACUAUUAGACGGCCGAUAUCGGAUUAGCUAGUUGGUGGGGUAACGGCUCGCAAGGCGACGAUCCGUAGCUGGUUUGAAGGACGACCAGCCACACUGGGACUGGACAGCCCGGGCUCACGCGAGGGCAGCAGUGGGGAAUUUGGACAAUGGGGGAAACCCUGAUCCAGCCAUCCGCGUGCGAUGAAGGCCUUCGGGUUGUGUAAGCACUUUUGGCAGGAAAGAAACGGCACGGGAUAAUACCCCGUGCAACUGACGGUACCUGCAGAAUAAGCACCGGCUAACUACGUGCCAGCAGCCGCCUUAUGGUAAUACGUGGGUGCAAGCGUUAAUCGGAAUUACUGGGCGUAAAGCGUGCGCAGGCGGUUCGGAAAGAUGCUUAAAAUCCCGAAACCUUUGGAACUGCAUUUUUAACUACCGAGAGCUAGAGUGUGUCAGAGGGAGGUGGGUCCACGCGUGUAGCAGUGAAAUGCGUAGAUAUGCGGAGGAACACCGAUGGCGAAGGCAGCCUCCUGGGAUAACACUGACGCUCAUGCACGAAAGCGUGAGGGGAGCAAACAGGAUUAGAUACCCUGGGUAGUCCACGCCUAAACGAUGUCAACUAGCUGUUGGAGCCUUCGGGCCUUGGUAGCGCAGCUAACGCGUGAAGUUGACCGCCUGGGAAGUACGGUCGCAAGAUUAAAACUCAAAGGAAUUGACGGGGACCCACACAAGCGGUGGAUGAUGUGGAUUAAUUCGAUGCAACGCGAAAAACCUUACCUACCCUUGACAUGUCUGGAAUCCCGAAGAGAUUUGGGAGUGCUCGCAAAGAGGAGCGCGGAACACAGGUGCUGCAUGGCUGUCAUCAGCUCGUGUCGUGAGAUGUUAGGUUAAGUCCCGCAACGAGCGCAACCCUUGUCAUUAGUUGCUACGAAAGGGCACUCUAAUGAGACUGCCGGUGACAAACCGGAGGAAGGUGAGGAUGACGUCAAGUCCUCAUGGCCCUUAUGGGUAGGGCACACGUCAUACAAUGGUCGGGACAGAGGGUCGCCAACCCGCGAGGGGGAGCCGACCAAAACCGAUCGUAGUCCGGAUCAUGAUCUGCAACUCGACUGCGCGUCAGAACCGCAUAGUAAUCGCGGAUCAGCAUGUCGCGGUGAAUACGUUCCGGGUCUUGUACACCGCCCGUCACCAUGGGAGUGGGUUUACCAGAAGUAGUUAGCCUAACCGUAAGGAGGGCGAUUACCACGGUAAGUUCAUGACUGGGGUGAAGUCGUAGCUAAGGUAA
This 1449-nucleotide ribosomal RNA is filed under the name uncultured Bordetella sp. RNAcentral's name for it is "partial 16S-23S ribosomal RNA intergenic spacer". It matches the Rfam family "Bacterial small subunit ribosomal RNA". The record is from RNAcentral. Lineage: Bacteria; Pseudomonadati; Pseudomonadota; Betaproteobacteria; Burkholderiales; Alcaligenaceae.